This 465-nucleotide ribosomal RNA is filed under the name uncultured bacterium. RNAcentral's name for it is "partial 16S ribosomal RNA". It matches the Rfam family "Bacterial small subunit ribosomal RNA", at positions 338 to 795 of the family's 1533-position model. The record is from RNAcentral.
CCUACGGGUGGCAGCAGUGGGGAAUAUUGCGCAAUGGGCGAAAGCCUGACGCAGCGACGCCGCGUGAGGGAUGAAGGUCUUCGGAUCGUAAACCUCUGUCAGCAGGGAAGCACGGUCACUGUGCUAAUCAGCAGUGAAUUGACGGUACCUGCAAAGGAAGCACCGGCUAACUCCGUGCCAGCAGCCGCGGUAAUACGGAGGGUGCGAGCGUUAAUCGGAAUUACUGGGCGUAAAGGGCUCGGAGGCGGGAUGUCAAGUCAAGGGGGAAAUCCCCGCGCUCAACGUGGGAACUGCCUUUGAAACUGGCAAACUGGAGUGUGUGAGAGGAUAGUGGAAUUCCAGGUGUAGGAGUGAAAUCCGUAGAUAUCUGGAGGAACAUCAGUGGCGAAGGCGACUAUCUGGCACAUAACUGACGCUGAGGAGCGAAAGCGUGGGUAGCAAACAGGAUUAGAUACCCGGGUAGUC